This 624-nucleotide long non-coding RNA is filed under the name Sinocyclocheilus grahami. RNAcentral describes it as "lncRNA (ENSSGRG00000042717.1)". Lineage: Eukaryota; Metazoa; Chordata; Actinopteri; Cypriniformes; Cyprinidae. The record is from RNAcentral.
GGGCUUUGUCUCUAGGUAUAGCUGUCGUCAACAACAUUUAACUGGCUUUUAUUUUCCUACUGUGUGAACAGACGUUCAUUACUGCAGGCUGCUGGAACAGUAAGCAGUUGAAAACAUCACAUCUUAAGACUGAGAUGUUCAUUACUGUGAUAUUUGGUGAGACUGUGGACUUGAUGGACAGGAUGGGAGAGCUGGUGAACUUGGCAGAGAGAGCACAGAGCACCGACCUCGUCAGCAGUUUGCUGAAGGAGAGAGAGAGCUAUAUUCCAUUACGUGUAUCACGAGGUGAAGGCAGUGAAGGUCCAAAGUAUACUGCAGUGUAUGACUUUGGGACAAGUUACCCUGAGCUAGCAGAGAUUCUGAGAAAACUGUCAAAUCCUUCAAAGGAGAAGGACAAAAGGGGUGGAGCAUCUAAAAGGGGAGGAGUCAGUCAAAACCGCAUCAAAGCAGCUAUCAACUUUAAGAAAGCCAUCACAACACCUCGGAGCUGAAAACACUCUCUUACUAUUUCCUUGUGUUCUUUAACAAUGUUGUAAAUAUUUUAUUUAUAGAAUUGGUUAUGUCAUAUAAAUCAAUGUGAAGAAUAAAUGUUGUUUGUGUAUAUACACAACCAUUCAAAAGUUU